GUCAGAUGGUCGCGGAAUAUUAAUUCUGAGGAAAGUCCGAGCUCCACAGGGCAAGGAUGCCGGGUAACGCCCGGUGAAGGUGACUUCAAGGCAAGUGCAACAGAAAGUAUACCGCCCUACUAUUUUAUUUUAGGGUAAGGCUGAAAGGGUGAGGUAAGAGCUCACCAGCGGCGUGAGUAAUCCGUCGGCUAUGUAAACCCCAUCCGGAGCAAGAUCAAGAACUAGCAUUUAAUAAUGGCUGCUCGUCAUUGCUAAAAAUGGUAGAUCGCUGGAAUUUAUCGGUGACGAUAAAACAAGAUAGAUGACCAUCAAGACAGAACUCGGCUUAUAGACUUAG
Molecule: RNase P RNA, 337 nt
Filed under: bovine gut metagenome
Description: Bacterial RNase P class A
Rfam family: Bacterial RNase P class A
About the family: Ribonuclease P (RNase P) is a ubiquitous endoribonuclease, found in archaea, bacteria and eukarya as well as chloroplasts and mitochondria. Its best characterised activity is the generation of mature 5'-ends of tRNAs by cleaving the 5'-leader elements of precursor-tRNAs.
Source: RNAcentral